Molecule: ribosomal RNA, 344 nt
Filed under: uncultured Thauera sp.
Lineage: Bacteria; Pseudomonadati; Pseudomonadota; Betaproteobacteria; Rhodocyclales; Zoogloeaceae
Description: bacterial SSU rRNA
Rfam family: Bacterial small subunit ribosomal RNA
Source: RNAcentral
GGUGGCAUGGUUGUCGUCAGCUCGUGUCGUGAGAUCGUUGGGUUAAGUCCCGCAACGAGCGCAACCCUCGACCUUAGUUGCCAGCAUUCAGUUGGGCACUCUAAGGUGACUGCCGGCUAAAAGUCGGAGGAAGGUGGGGAUGACGUCAAGUCCUCAUGGCCCUUAUGGGUAGGGCUUCACACGUCAUACAAUGGUCGGUACAGAGGGUUGCCAAACCGCGAGGUGGAGCCAAUCCCUUAAAGCCGAUCGUAGUCCGGAUCGUAGUCUGCAACUCGACUACGUGAAGUCGGAGUCGCUAGUAAUCGCAGAUCAGCAUGCUGCGGUCGAAUACGUUCCCGGGCCUU